UUGUACACACCGCCCGUCGUUACUACCGAUUGAAUGGCUUAGUGAGGUCUUGGGAGCGUUGGCUUGGUGGGCGACCGCCGCGCUGAUGCAAACUUGAUCAAACUUGGUCAUUUAGAGGAAGUACAAGUCGUAACAAGGUUUCCGUAGGUGAACCUGCGGAAGGAUCAUUUUUGAACCAUAUUAACACUGUGACGAGCCCUUGCGUAGCGAGGGCGACUGCUUCCGGUUCGCCGGAUUAUUUUUUUAACCAAAUCUGAUAAUGUUAGUGAAAAACUUUCAACAACGGAUCUCUUGGUUCUCGCAUCGAUGAAGAACGCAGCAAAGCGCGAUAGGUAAUGCGAAUUGCAGACGUGAGUCAUUGAAUCUUUGAACGCACAUUGCGCCAGUUUACUGGCAUACUGCGUUGAGCGUCGGCCUUCCUCCACAGGUGCUGCUACUUACAGUAGUGAAAGGCAUGGAAACGCACCCGUUAGCAAACCGGUGCUGACCUACAAAUUCGACCUCAGCGUAGUAAGAUUACCCGCUGAACUUAAGCAUAUCAAUAAGCGGAGGAAAAGAAACCAACAGGGAUUGCCCUAGUAAUGGCGAAUGAACAGGCAAAAGCUCAGAUUUGAAACCCUCGGGAUUGUAAUCUGGAGACCUGGAUUUGGCACGCUGACCAAGUCUUCUGGAACGGAGCGCCAUGGAGGGUGACAGCCCCGUAGCAGCAGCCGCAGUAAAUCCGGGUCGACGAGUCG
RNAcentral lists this ribosomal RNA (737 nucleotides) under [Candida] sp. CBS 2800. RNAcentral describes it as "eukaryotic LSU rRNA". The stretch from base 498 to 737 matches the Rfam family "Eukaryotic large subunit ribosomal RNA", at positions 1 to 267 of the family's 3401-position model. The record is from RNAcentral. Lineage: Eukaryota; Fungi; Ascomycota; Saccharomycetes; Saccharomycetales.